Non-coding RNA from Oncorhynchus mykiss (rainbow trout), 1918 nucleotides. Lineage: Eukaryota; Metazoa; Chordata; Actinopteri; Salmoniformes; Salmonidae. The record is from RefSeq and is a predicted model, not a curated record.
ACAAAUAAUAUGGUUAGUAUAAGUAUUCAAACACAACUCAUGUCUUGUUUUGUGGUGUUUUGAAUGAUUUCAUGUCAAUGCUAAUAUGGCUGAAAUUCACUAGCUAGCUAACCAACAACUGUAACGAUGUAUUUGAGACAACAAGUGCUCAAUGUGCAAAUGUAUUUAUGUUCUCAAUAAACAUUUGAAGACAAAAUAUAGCUUACACGUUGUCAACAAUCUAAGCCAACCCUAUAUGUUUUGCCCCAUAGUUAUGCACGCAUUGGUUUUGUUGCGAAACAACCAACCCUUCUAUGCACAGAGGGGGAUUUUCCCGCACUGAAAUCUGGAAGUGACAUACUUCCUUCUCCAUGAAUGAUGCCACGUGAUAGAAUAUAGACGCCAGUGGAGUAACAAAACAAACACAGAAAUAAAUCUAAACUUUAAUCGGAGCUGGACAAGUACAAGUUGGGACGUCACAAUCUGCAUUUUGAUGUAGAACUUCCCUUGUAGCAGUGGCACAACAACUUCAACUUUGCCUUCUAUCCCAUCAGCUUUCAAAAGUUCAGUUCUUGUAUGAAGGUCAAUGAGAGCGUGUUGAAUUUGGUUAGCAAAAAAUGUAAUGGCUUAUUUGCUACGUGUUGCGUAUUUGAUCAAAUAGAAGUUUAUUAAUGAUUAAGUUGUUACAAGUGUACUGAUUUAAGUAGGACACCUCACGUCCCGGCAACUUUGGGAAAAAAACACUUGAUAUAUGAGUUGAGCCUUGUCGUCACUAGUUAUCACAAAGUCAUAAACCUCGCCUUAUAUAAUUUAGAUUUGUGGCUGUGGUAGCUAGGGGAAACCGUUGUGCCUGUUGUUUACACGGGUAUCUGCCCUCUCAUUGGCUAGAAUGGUCCCACCUGAUCUUGCCUCCUCCCGACUGCCUUCUAUUUUUAAGACAUUUCUUUUCAUUCUUAGAAUGGUCACUAGAGUAUCUGGUCAAUAUACUGGAUAAAGUAUUGAAGAUGAUGCCGGAGGCCCGGUACCACCAGUGCCGGCACCAAGCCUACAGUUCGCCACGGCAGUCCGGAACCUCCAGCGACGGGCCACUGUCCGGAACCUCCAGCGACGGGCCACAGCCCGGAACCUCCAGCGACGGGCCACAGCCCGGAACCUCCAGCGACGGGCCACGGGUCAGUGCCACAAGAGCGGACUCAUUGUAAUGAAGGGGGGCGGCGUCCAGAACCAGAGCCGCCCCCUAGGUUAGAUGCCCACCCAGACCCUCCCAUAUUGGUUUAGGUUUGCGUCCGGGAGUCCGCAUCUUUGGGGUGUUUGUUUAGUUUUUGUAUGUCUAGGGGUUUUGGUAUGUCUAGGGGUUUAUAUGUCUAUGGUUUCCUAGAUUGGUUCUCAAUCCGAGGCAUCUGUUUAUCGUUGUCUCUGAUUGGGGACUAUAUUUAGGUAGCCAUAUUCCUUGGGUAUUUUGUGGGUUUUUAUUCUAUGUUUAGUUGCCUGUUUGCACUAGUCAUAUAGCUUCACAGUUCUUUUUGUAUUUGUUUUGUUUAGUGUUCGUUCUUCCAUUAAAAGAUGUACGCUUACCACGCAGCGCCUUGGUCUCCUCACGAUGAUGAACGUGACAAUUUCACGGGAAUUAGACACAGGUCCUGGUGCAGCCCAACCUCCAGCCUCAGCCCAACCUCCAGUUAAAGGCCCAGACCCAGCACCACUCCCAUCUCCAAGCCCAGCUCCACUCCCAUCUCCAUGUCCAGCUCCACUCCCAUCUCCAUGUCUAGCACUAGGCCCAGCACCACCCCCAGCUGCAAACAGAUAUUCUAAAAUAAUCAGCAGACACAUUGGCCCAUAAAAAACAAUAACAAGUGGUGGAAGGCCAUAUAUACAGUGGGGCAAAAAAGUAUUUAGUCAGCCACCAAUUGUGCAAGUUCUCCCACUUAAAAAGAUGAGA